CGGAGUCGGGGCGAGGGUCGCCGCCGGCCGCAGGGCCGGCGGAGGAAAGUCCGGACUCCACAGGGCAGUGCGCUGGGUAACGCCCAGGCGGGGUGACCCGACGGAAAGUGCAGCAGAGAGCAGACCGCCAGCGGCCGGCGCGGCGACGCGCCGGUGCGGGCAAGGGUGAAACGGUGGGGUAAGAGCCCACCAGCAUCCCGGGUGACCGGGAUGGCUCGGCAAACCCCGCACGGAGCAAGGCCAAAUAGGGGAGCGACGGCGUGGCCCGCGCCGCUCCCGGGUAGGCCGCUCGAGGCGACGGGAAACCGUCGUCCCAGAGGAAUGACCCUCCUCCGGUCCACGGAGAACAGAAUCCGGCUUACGACCGGCUCCGCUCC
Molecule: RNase P RNA, 377 nt
Filed under: Acidobacteriota bacterium
Lineage: Bacteria; Pseudomonadati; Acidobacteriota
Description: Acidobacteria bacterium RNase P RNA component class A
Rfam family: Bacterial RNase P class A
About the family: Ribonuclease P (RNase P) is a ubiquitous endoribonuclease, found in archaea, bacteria and eukarya as well as chloroplasts and mitochondria.
Source: RNAcentral